This 455-nucleotide ribosomal RNA is filed under the name uncultured bacterium. Its description in RNAcentral is "partial 16S ribosomal RNA". It matches the Rfam family "Bacterial small subunit ribosomal RNA", at positions 339 to 795 of the family's 1533-position model. The record is from RNAcentral.
CUACGGGACGCAGCAGUGGGGGAUAUUGCACAAUGGAGGAAACUCUGAUGCAGCGACGCCGCGUGAGUGAUGAAGUAUUUCGGUAUGUAAAGCUCUAUCAGCAGGGAAGAAAGGCUCCGUAUGGAGAGAUGACGGUACCUGAGUAAGAAGCCCCGGCUAACUACGUGCCAGCAGCCGCGGUAAUACGUAGGGGGCGAGCGUUAUCCGGAUUUACUGGGUGUAAAGGGAGCGCAGACGGAUCUGCAAGUCUGAUGUGAAAGCCCGGGGCUCACCCCCGGGACUGCAGUGGAAACUGUAGAUCUGGAGUAUUGGAAGGGCAAGCGGAAUUCCUGGUGUAGCGGUGAAAUGCGUAGAUAUCAGGAGGAACACCGGUGGCGAAGGCGGCUUGCUGGACAAUAACUGACGUUGAGGCUCGAAAGCGUGGGGAGCAACCAGGAUUAGAUACCCUUGUAGUC